This 253-nucleotide ribosomal RNA is filed under the name uncultured bacterium. RNAcentral's name for it is "partial 16S ribosomal RNA". It matches the Rfam family "Bacterial small subunit ribosomal RNA", at positions 524 to 776 of the family's 1533-position model. The record is from RNAcentral.
UACGUAGGUGGCAAGCGUUACUCGGAAUCACUAGGCGUAAAGCGCAGGUAGGCGGUUCGGUAAGUCUUUUGUGAAAGCUCCUAGCUCAACUGGGAGAGGUCAAAGGAAACUGCCGGGCUAGAGUUUGGUAGGGGAGACUGGAAUUCCUGGUGUAGCGGUGAAAUGCGUAGAUAUCAGGAGGAAUACCUAUGGCGAAAGCAGGUCUCUGGGCCACAACUGACGCUGAGCUGCGAAAGCUAGGGGAGCAAACAGG